Molecule: transfer RNA, 74 nt
Filed under: Bacillus sp. (in: firmicutes)
Lineage: Bacteria; Bacillati; Bacillota; Bacilli; Caryophanales; Bacillaceae
Also listed under: 4 other names
Description: Bacillus sp. (in: Bacteria) tRNA-Met
Rfam family: tRNA
About the family: Transfer RNA (tRNA) molecules are approximately 80 nucleotides in length. Their secondary structure includes four short double-helical elements and three loops (D, anti-codon, and T loops).
Source: RNAcentral
CGCGGGGUGGAGCAGUCUGGUAGCUCGUCGGGCUCAUAACCCGAAGGUCGUAGGUUCAAAUCCUAUCCCCGCAA